UACGAAUGGAGCGAGCGUUGUUCGGAAUCACUGGGCGUAAAGCGUGCGCAGGCGGUCUUGAAAGUCAGGAGUGAAAUCCCAGAGCUUAACUUUGGAAUUGCUUUUGAAACUCCAAGACUAGAGUACUGGAGGGGUUGGCGGAAUUUCGAGUGUAGCAGUGAAAUGCGUAGAUAUUCGAAGGAACACCGAUGGCGUAGGCAGCCAACUAGACAGUUACUGACGCUCAUGCACGAAAGCGUGGGGAUCAAACAGG
RNAcentral lists this ribosomal RNA (253 nucleotides) under uncultured bacterium. Its description in RNAcentral is "partial 16S ribosomal RNA". It matches the Rfam family "Bacterial small subunit ribosomal RNA", at positions 524 to 776 of the family's 1533-position model. The record is from RNAcentral.